UUUUGGUAAAUCUUUAUACAUGGGAAUUACUGCUCCUGAAUCUCAUUCAAACACUUUUCACAAUUAUAUUCUUUCUUGAUUAUUCUAAACCACACUUUACUAGCACAGAAAAAAUUAAGUCAAAGACUCACUGAGAAAAAGUGGUUUGACCAAAAAAAAAAAAAAAAAAAAAAGCCUCAAUUGUUUCUGAGUGUUUCCUGUGCACCCCCACCUCUUUUGACCUGCUAGGUAAGGUGCUCCCCGUUGAGAAGCAGAUUUCACUAAAAUUCCAACUUAACUUCCCCUCCACAGUUGGGGUCCUUCCCCUGGAUGGAGGCUGAAGACACUCCUACCUACCCGGCCUUCUAUACAGAGCGUACAAAGGGGAAGAGCAACCCAGCCCUGGCCCCAGAGUGGCCUGAGUGGGAAUCACGAUCGCUGUGCAUCGUGUUGGUAGUGCCAAGCCAGGCUUCACGGACAAGUUCAGGAGACAGAGGACCUGGCUGCAGGUCAGUAGGGAAGCAGGCAGGGGUGGAAAUCAUGUCCCUGUCCCAACACAACAAAUACCGUCCGUUUAAGCCGAGUGAAUGGCUGAAGCCAACACAGAGCAGCUUUUGUCAUCCAGAGAGGGAUGGAGCAAAGAACGUGCAUGCGGGCCCAGCCUGCUCGGCAGGAGCUGGAAAGACCACGCCUGCGUGGGGAAAAGUCAGAACUGAGGCUCUGGCCCUGUGUUGGCCUUGUGGACCUGACAGCGCUUUUUGGCCCCGCCCAGAAUUAGGUGCGUACCCUGUUGGACCCUGGGUGGGAAGGGCUGUUGCGGGAAACCUCCUUUAGAGGCCCCUAGGCGUAUUCUGGUUGUCUAACCGCGUGGCUCUUCACUGCUCUGGGACCUCACGUGAGCUAAUCAGUCCUGCAAAGCCCUGCAGAACUUGGGAGAACUGGAUAGCGCUGACAUGCAAUGGGAAAGCAGCAACUGGUCAGCAAAUGUCAGCGGUCUUCUGGGGCGUGAUGCUGUUUGAGGUCCGGACUGAGCACUUGCCCUUGCUAAAGCAUGAAAUCCAAGUGCCUGUGGAAGCCUGGGAGCGGUCAGGCUUGGGGAUCCGCUUCCUGAAGGAUUGUUUAGAAAGCACAGCAGUCUGGGGAGAGGCAAGCCCGGGUAGAUGCCUCAAAGCUGUCACCUCCGAUAGCACAAGCUCUUUGCUUGUUAGGGAGAGAAGAGUGCCAGGCUUUUAUCAUUCAUCGCCAGAAUGCUCCACCAAUCACUGAGGAUUAGACAACAGCAUCCAGAAUGCUGAGAGAGGAGACAGAAUAUGAAUGUGUGCACACACAGGAUGCUCCUGGUGCUGCCGGGUGGCGGUGGCGUUGGCCACCAGGGUGCGCUGCUAGGGCCAUUCCUGAGUUGGGGUGGUAGGGGUGCUACACAGGGAGAUGGCAUUUAUUUAUUUAUUUAUUACUAAGAAGUGUCUAGCACACUGCCUUGACUAUACUACAUGCUUAAGUUAGAGGGGUGAUUUUCCGAAAGAGUUCAGAAUGAUCUGUGCUUGUUAAUCAGUGCGGAAUCCAGGGAGAUUGCUGUUCAAAGGUCUGUUCCUGGGGUGUGG
Saimiri boliviensis boliviensis (Bolivian squirrel monkey) is the source of this 1580-nucleotide long non-coding RNA. NCBI's taxonomy places the organism in Eukaryota, Metazoa, Chordata, Mammalia, Primates, Cebidae. The record is from Ensembl.